CCUACGGGUGGCAGCAGUGGGGAAUAUUGGACAAUGGGCGAAAGCCUGAUCCAGCCAUGCCGCGUGAGUGACGAAGGUCUUCGGAUUGUAAAGCUCUUUUGCCAGGGACGAUAAUGACGGUACCUGGAGAAUAAGCCCCGGCUAACUUCGUGCCAGCAGCCGCGGUAAUACGAAGGGGGCUAGCGUUGUUCGGAAUUACUGGGCGUAAAGCGCACGUAGGCGGAUUUGUUAGUCAGGGGUGAAAUCCCGGGGCUCAACCUCGGAACUGCCUUUGAUACUGCAAAUCUCGAGUCCGGAAGAGGUGAGUGGAAUUCCUAGUGUAGAGGUGAAAUUCGUAGAUAUUAGGAAGAACACCAGUGGCGAAGGCGGCUCACUGGUCCGGUACUGACGCUGAGGUGCGAAAGCGUGGGGAGCAAACAGGAUUAGAUACCCUUGUAGUC
This 440-nucleotide ribosomal RNA is filed under the name uncultured bacterium. RNAcentral describes it as "bacterial SSU rRNA". It matches the Rfam family "Bacterial small subunit ribosomal RNA", at positions 338 to 795 of the family's 1533-position model. The record is from RNAcentral.